This 250-nucleotide long non-coding RNA is filed under the name Gossypium raimondii (Peruvian cotton). Its description in RNAcentral is "long non-coding RNA (GRAI_LNC001693)". Lineage: Eukaryota; Viridiplantae; Streptophyta; Magnoliopsida; Malvales; Malvaceae. The record is from RNAcentral.
GGAGGCUCGCCGGACUGGGUUUUUUAACCCUCUUCGGAGCCGAUUCGAAGGCAAAGUAAGCCCUCACCUUCCUAUUUCCUUUUUGUAAAUUUAAACACCAAAUCGGAAAAGGAAAAUAACUCUAAAAUAUUAAAAAAAACUAAUAAACACCUUAAAAAGAAAACGAUGUUGAUUUAUUCUCUAUUGAUUUUCUUUGCAUAUUCUUUUUCUCUCUAUUUCUGUCUCUGUUUAAGCUCCAAAAAUCCCCCCC